This 1437-nucleotide ribosomal RNA is filed under the name Curtobacterium sp. LJ21. Its description in RNAcentral is "bacterial SSU rRNA". It matches the Rfam family "Bacterial small subunit ribosomal RNA". The record is from RNAcentral. Lineage: Bacteria; Bacillati; Actinomycetota; Actinomycetes; Micrococcales; Microbacteriaceae.
UAGAGUUUGAUCGUGGCUCAGGACGAACGCUGGCGGCGUGCUUAACACAUGCAAGUCGAACGAUGAUGCCCAGCUUGCUGGGUGGAUUAGUGGCGAACGGGUGAGUAACACGUGAGUAACCUGCCCCUGACUCUGGGAUAAGCGUUGGAAACGACGUCUAAUACUGGAUAUGACUGCCGGCCGCAUGGUCUGGUGGUGGAAAGAUUUUUUGGUUGGGGAUGGACUCGCGGCCUAUCAGCUUGUUGGUGAGGUAAUGGCUCACCAAGGCGACGACGGGUAGCCGGCCUGAGAGGGUGACCGGCCACACUGGGACUGAGACACGGCCCAGACUCCUACGGGAGGCAGCAGUGGGGAAUAUUGCACAAUGGGCGAAAGCCUGAUGCAGCAACGCCGCGUGAGGGAUGACGGCCUUCGGGUUGUAAACCUCUUUUAGUAGGGAAGAAGCGAAAGUGACGGUACCUGCAGAAAAAGCACCGGCUAACUACGUGCCAGCAGCCGCGGUAAUACGUAGGGUGCAAGCGUUGUCCGGAAUUAUUGGGCGUAAAGAGCUCGUAGGCGGUUUGUCGCGUCUGCUGUGAAAUCCCGAGGCUCAACCUCGGGCUUGCAGUGGGUACGGGCAGACUAGAGUGCGGUAGGGGAGAUUGGAAGGGGUGGUGUAGCGGUGGAAUGCCAGAUAUCAGGAGGAACACCGAUGGCGAAGGCAGAUCUCUGGGCCGUAACUGACGCUGAGGAGCGAAAGCAUGGGGAGCGAACAGGAUUAGAUACCCUGGUAGUCCAUGCCGUAAACGUUGGGCGCUAGAUGUAGGGACCUUUCCACGGUUUCUGUGUCGUAGCUAACGCAUUAAGCGCCCCGCCUGGGGAGUACGGCCGCAAGGCUAAAACUCAAGGAAUUGACGGGGGCCCGCACAAGCGGCGGAGCAUGCGGAUUAACUCGAUGCAACGCGAAGAACCUUACCAAGGCUUGACAUACACCGGAAACGGCCAGAGAUGGUCGCCCCCUUGUGGUCGGUGUACAGGUGGUGCAUGGUUGUCGUCAGCUCGUGUCGUGAGAUGUUGGGUUAAGUCCCGCAACGAGCGCAACCCUCGUUCUAUGUUGCCAGCGCGUUAUGGCGGGGACUCAUAGGAGACUGCCGGGGUCAACUCGGAGGAAGGUGGGGAUGACGUCAAAUCAUCAUGCCCCUUAUGUCUUGGGCUUCACGCAUGCAACAAUGGCCGGUACAAAGGGCUGCGAUACCGUAAGGUGGAGCGAAUCCCAAAAAGCCGGUCUCAGUUCGGAUUGAGGUCUGCAACUCGACCUCAUGAAGUCGGAGUCGCUAGUAAUCGCAGAUCAGCAACGCUGCGGUGAAUACGUUCCCGGGCCUUGUACACACCGCCCGUCAAGUCAUGAAAGUCGGUAACACCCGAAGCCGGUGGCCUAACCCUUGUGGAAGGAGCCGU